GCCAUAUCAGUAUUGGACUACGUCCGCCUUCCAAGCGGAAAUUUUAAUCAACUUUAAAUACGGCA
Molecule: transfer RNA, 65 nt
Filed under: Cipangopaludina chinensis
Lineage: Eukaryota; Metazoa; Mollusca; Gastropoda; Architaenioglossa; Viviparidae
Description: tRNA-Gly
Source: RNAcentral